Cyprinus carpio (common carp) is the source of this 1644-nucleotide long non-coding RNA. NCBI's taxonomy places the organism in Eukaryota, Metazoa, Chordata, Actinopteri, Cypriniformes, Cyprinidae. The record is from Ensembl.
UUUCUGAAAGGAGGAAUUGGCAAAUUGUUCACCAAGGUCCUCUAAGAGACUGACACGAAGCACUUCUGCCAAGAAGUGAUUUCUCCCAAAGGAAACCAGCUAUGGAAGUUCCAGGAGUAGUUAUUUUUCCCACAAGAGAGUCACUGUAUUUUCUGAAUUUAUUUGGUUGAAUAGGUGAUUACAAAGAAUAAUAGUUAUUUAUUUGAUAAGAUUAGAUUAGAUCAUUCUGAGUGUUAAUGUGACUGUUAAAAUAAAGACUUCUUAAGAAGUCAGCCAAAAUAGGGAGAGUAAAUCGUGUAGUAAACAAAAAAAAAAAGACAAAAGAGUCUGACAACCUCAGAAAUCUCUGCUCUCAGGACUAACUCAUCAUUUCCACCAAUUUUGACAGGUAAGUUGUUUGCUAGAGGGAUACCGGGAAAUUGUCAAGAAAAACACAAAACGAGAGAGUGCCCACAGAUAAACACAUUGCGAGUUUGAGGUGUGUGUAUCGUAAAUGAUGGGGGCUGUUAUGACCUUGUGGGUUUGUGGCAGACAAAUGGGUCCACAGCUGGGGCAGAGGUGCGUUGGCCUAGAGGUGGCCUAGUUUCGUCUACAGCUGAGAGGAGCUGAGACACUGGAAUCUUCUUUGUUGCCUGAGGUGAAGUCAAGAGGUAACUGUAAAAUUCAGAGAGUUCAUUCAGAAGUCGCUGGUGUAGUGGAAGGUGCUGUCGAGUCGAUCUUCAGAGUACAUCCCAGGAAUGUACCAGGCUGCUACAAUCAGCAUUUGAGAGGAACUGGAAGACUGGCAUAUCCUUUGUUGCCCAAGAUUUGACUACCCACAAAGCCCUGCAUUCAGCAGACUCAUUCCUCACUCAGUCCCAUCAUCAGACCUCAUGGCAGGCUUUGAAGAAGAUGUGUGUUUACCUGAAGCUCCUGGCAGGAGAGAUAAGAGGCCUGUUUGGCAGAUGGUACGAGCCAUCAUCAGCGGACACAGCUGCAGCCCAGACCCUAACAAGCCUGGCGUUCGAGCAGGAUGGGCUUCAGGAACUGGUAUGGAGAGGGACUUUAGCAACAAUAUCCAUCGCCCAUCGUUCCCUCCAGCCAUCUGUGCCUGCAUCUGAGCCCGGCUGACAGGCUUCACACUUACAGAGUGUGAAAUUAGCAUGUGUGUGUGUGUGUGUGUGUGUGUGUGUGAGGAGCAAUGGGGGAGCUCCAUUAAAUCAGUCUGGUACGUGUGUGUUCAGGGUUGUGUGAAGGUGUCGUGACUGUGCGAGCGUGUGUUGGGUCUCUGUGGAAGACACAGGUGUUCAGGUUGACUCUCAGUGGCCCGGGAAGCACAAAGCCUGCGUUCGACGGGAAUCCGAUCUGCGACGGUCCUCCCCUGAAUUAUGUUAAUUAACCUUCGGCCCAGAACAUGAUUCUCCGGUAUCAGGGUGAGCUGUUCAUGUCAACAAAUGUCCAUAAUUGACUAUUGAACUUCGCUCAGUGGUUUGUGCAACCCGACCUCUUAACUGUGACCUCUGGUUUUUGACAUCUGCCUUCUGUGGGAAAUUAAUCACGGGUUAUGUUUGGAAUUAAAUGCUAGAGUAAUGCUUAAUGAAUACUGUGGCAUGUACACUGUAUACUGCUUUGUUUUUAAUAAAAGUAUGUAAAUGUAAUGUUACA